This 5734-nucleotide long non-coding RNA is filed under the name Sus scrofa (pig). RNAcentral describes it as "lncRNA (ENSSSCG00030061675.1)". The record is from RNAcentral. Lineage: Eukaryota; Metazoa; Chordata; Mammalia; Artiodactyla; Suidae.
UUUUUUUUUUUUUUUUUUUUUUUUUUUCCUGCCUUUUAGGGCCACACCUGCGUCGUAUGGAAGUUCCUAGGCUACGGGUCAAAUUGCAGCUGCAGCUGCUGGCCUACACCACAGCCUCAGCAACAUGGGAUCUGAGCUGACCCUGUGGCCUACACAGGAACUCAGGACAAUGCUGGAUCCUUAACCCACUAAGCAAGGCCAGGGAUCAAACCCACAUCUUCAUGAGUACUAGUUGGGUUUGUAAUUCACUGAGCCAUAACAGGAAACCCUAAAAACGCUUUUAUUUCUUUACCCCUUCUCUGCUUUAUGCCUUUUAUUUUUUCUUGUCUUAAUGCAAAGACUAGGGUCUCUAGUACGAUGUUGAAUGUAAGUCAUAAGAGCAAAGAUACUUUCCUUACUUCCUUUCCUUAAUGUAUUCAAUUAAAAGUAUGAAGAUAUUAAAAAUUAGAGUGGCAUCAGAAACUAAGUUCUAGUUCCAUACCUACCAUUUAACUCUUAAUUGAGAUACUAUUUCCCUCUUUAAUGAAUAUCUACAAACAUGAAAAGUGUUUAAUACCAAAUUAAAAACCUAUUUAUUAUAGUAUGAAAUAAAGUAUAAGAUUUCUUUGGAUUUAUAUGAAUGAAAUAGAAAAAUGCCUAAAACUUAAUUAAACUUCCUGAUCCAUAGACAUUUAGGGGUAUAUCCAUAUAGUUAUAUACCUGUUAAUCAACAGUACUUGAAUCUUAUUGCUUAGUCUCAUAUUGGGUACACAUUAAGUAUUCAGAUAAUUAUAAAUUCAAAGUUAAAAUAAGCUACACAAAUAUAUUGUACGGCACAAGCACCAUAGUCAAUAUUUUAUAAUAACUUAAAAAUGGACUAUAAUCUUUAAAAAUUAUGAGGAAUUCCCAUCAUGGCUCAGUGGUGAUUAACCCAACUAGGAUCCAUGAGGACUUAGGUUAGUGGCCCUUGCCUUCUAAGAUUUCUGUUGGUGGGUGACAAAUAAGAUACAUAUCACAUUAUACAUUAUAACAUUAAUUUUAUGGCUUUGAAAUUAACUUUUUGUGGGUUUAAAUUUUGAAAAUUAAUUCAUUCGGUCUGAAUGCCUUUGGGUAAAUACAAUUAAAAUUUUCUUAAAUUUUGGACUUUCCACUGUGGCUGAAUCAAGGCCAGGGAUUGAACCUGCUUCCUCAUGGAUGCCAGUCAGAUUCAUUUCUGCUGAUCCAUGACGGGAACUCCUGGAUGAGAAUAUUUAAGUUCUACUCUCUUAGCAAAUUUUUGGGAAGUUCCUUUAUAACUGUAAAUUGUGGAGAGAGCACAGACUCAGAGAAAAUGAGACUUCCCUCGUGGGUCUGCUUUCUCUUCUCCAACCUCUAUUCUUCAGUUUGCCUUGGGUGUGAGACUUGAAAACAAAGAAUCUCCAGGUGGGAACUUCUAGAUCUCAGGGCAGUGACCACUCAAGGUCUCUCCAACAGCCAACACGGAGCAGAUGGAAGUGAAGGAAACUGUAUUGCUGUGUGUUUAGGAGGAAAAAGGACCCCGAGUUAUUGGAGUGGAUGGAUUCCAGAAAUUCCUUGAUAGCCUCAGAAGAUUAUAGAAAAUCAGGGAGGAUGAAAAGCUAGAGCUGCAGCGUGGACCCACAAAACAGCUUUAGCCACACGUAAGGAAAUCUACAGGGCUCAUGAGGGGAAGACUGGCCAACAGUGAGACGUGGUUGAUGUCUUUGGAGGCAGUUCGCCCAGGCUGAAAAAGCAAUUCACAAUUUAUAUCAGUCAUGGACACAUCAGCAUUAGAGGCAGAUGCCCAAAGACAGACUGGACAUGACAUUCAUUCAGGGGACAGCAUUUGAACCUGUGAUAAUCCAAUGCUAUGAGAAUAUUAGCUUUUCUCUGUAACCAGGCACCGUCUUGGGAGGAAGCAGGGAUGAGAGAUCUCCUUGAUGGGGAAGAAAGCCUGGGAGAGAGAUUAAACUUUGACCUGCCCCAAUAUAUCCAAAAGAGAAUGAAUUCCCUUUAGUUAGAAAGUUUAAAUCAUUUCUCUAAGCCUAUCAUCAGGAAAAAAGGCACUCAGGAACAAAACAGAGUAUGUUUUAGACAAUAAAGAAAUGAACUUUUUUUUUUCUUUCCCACUUUGGGAGUAUGAGGUGUGAGUUCUUAUCCUAUUCCCCCUGUACAGAUAAAAAUAAUGAUUUUUCAGGACAGAAAAUUUGCUUCAUGCCUCUGUAUGUGUCUGAGCCUUUCAGUGAUAGUAUUAAGCUGAACGCUUGACUUCCUGGCAAAUACAUGUACUGUGCCCCACCUCUUAGCUCUAUAUUAUCAAAUCUGGAGUUAGAAACUGAGAAAACUUUGAAAUUUGACUCUACUUCCAUGAAAAAUUUAUUUUGUGUACCAAAAUGAAUUAAUUACCAUCUGAAUUUUUGAACAGUUAAACACGUUCGUUACAAAAACGUAAUCUGUUACUGAAACAAAAUUUUUAAAGUGAAUACGCACUGGGAUUUAUAUGGCUGUAAUUUAGAUGGUCAGCCUGAGAUGAUCCAAUUGUACCUGCCAACAGCAGGGAAAAAUAAAAGACUAGUAAGUUUAGGGAUAAUAUUCUUGAAAGGCUGUAUUGUCUAUCUAGAAAGGAGAAUUGUUUUCUCUUGAUUGCAACAGCAUCUUGCUUCCCCUGAUGCUAAGUGAGUCUGUAUCAAGAGCUUCUAUACUUUGAAUGUGGGGGUUUUCAUCUGAGUCUCAAACUUUCCUCAAUACCCAUACCAAUUUUAGUUUCAAUAUUUCAAAAGAAAUUAGAUAACAUAUCACUUAUCUCUGGAAUAUAAUAUAUGGCACAGAUGAACCUUUCCACAGAAAAGAAACUCAUGGACUUGGGGAACAGACUUGUGGUUGCCAGUGGGGAGAGGGAGGGAAUGGGAUGGACUGGGAGUUUGGGGUUAAUAGAUGCAAACUAUUGCAUUUGGACUGGGUAAGCAAUGAGAUCCUGCUGUAUAGCACAGGAAAUAUAUCUAGUCACUUGUGAUGGAACAUGAUGGAGGAUAAUGUGAGAAAAAGAAUAUGUAUAUAUAUGUAUGACUGGGUCACUUUGCUGUACAGUAGAAAUUGACAGAACACUGUAAACCAAUUAUAAUGGAAAAAAUAAAAAUCAUUAAAAAAUAAAUUAGAGAGCAUGUAGACAAGACUAAUUCAGAUGUACUACUCAUUCUUAAAGUUUAGAACAUGCAUCUGAUGGACUUAGGUUUAAAAGUAAGGAUGAAUCUCUUGCCUCUUGACAAUCACUGACCUAUAGCAAUGAUUCUUAAAUUGCUGUCACUAGACCAGCAGCUUCACGUGAGACACUGCUAUGGGAAUUUAUUAAAAUUCUCAAGCUCUUCUCUAGGACCACUGAAUCAGAAACUCUGGAGGUGAGGUUUGCAUUUUACAAGACUUCCAGGUGAUUCCAAUGCAUGUUAAAGGUUGAAAAGCAUUAAUCUAUAGAAUACUGCUAAAGAAAGAUCAUUUUUCCUGAAACCCUUUACAAAUGAGCCACUACAUAUAGAAAUUUCUGCUUUGGCAGAAAUCUUUCCAAGAGUAGUUGGACCAAGAGUCUAUUUAGUAUUAUUUUAUCUACAUGUAUUAAAAUGUUUAAUUAUAAAUUUCUCAGAAUGAUAUACAUAGUGGUAGUUUCAGUUUGAUACUUUUGACUGUAAACAUACAUGAUAUACAAAAAUAGGGAAAGUCAAUAUAUGAAAGUAUUUAGAACAGUGCUAAGAACUGAGCCUAGCCAUUUGCUGAAUGCUAUAAAAAUGACAACACUUGAGAAUCUCUUAUGUGUAGGUAACAUGCUAGCCAGUUUUAUAUCCAUUAUAUUGUAUAAAUAUUUAAUCUUUAUAACAAAUAUAAAAUAUUUUCCCAAAUGCCAGCCAAUUAGCAGGUGAUAAGUCAGAUGUAAAUGAUAAGUCUGUUCUUCAACUAUAGCCUUACCUGCCUGGGUUAAUUUACUUAAGGGCUACUAUUCAAGCUAGAGAUUAAUUAAUGACUAUAAUAGGAUAUUGUCUUGAAAUACUAGUUUCUUAGUAAUAAUCACUGUGCAGAUAAUAGCAUGUAUUUUAUUAAUAUGGCUAUACAUUGGGAUAAAGCCUUUGUUAAGGAGGCCCAUCAGCAGCAGCCUUAUUACUUAUGAUGAGCUUAAAUAUCUCUUCCAUCAUUUAUCUUUGGUAUUAAAUCCUCUAUAAUGUGAGCCCUUUAGUGCUAUUCCUUUUCCCAUGACUCUAUUUUAUAUAUCACUACUUAAAGAAUAGUCCUCAUAACUAGACCAAAAGAAGAACAUGAAACAAGGAUGGCAUUUAAGUCAGUAAUUUUCUAGAUCAAAAUUUUAUUACAUGAUUAAAAAAAGAGUCUUUCCUCUGAAAACUUACAUUCUAUACUACAUUACAGCUAUCUCAAACAUUUGUUUUAUAAAGAGUAGUGAUAAAAUAAGCUGGAAAAAUAUCUUAUCAUGCUGUUAUUUGUUAUUCCACUCUGUAUAAAUACAGAUUCAACAUCAAUGAAAUGAAAUCCAAUUACCCAUAACAAUUAGGCAUAACUAGCAAUAUCUUGAGGGGUGAUGUUAUAGGUGGAAGUAGGGAGAAGACAUUUAGGAAACUGGAAUUCAGUAAAAAGCUAUACAUUUUUAGUUUAUGGCCUCAGAGAUCAAGAGAGCAUUGCUAUUACUCAAUCAAACCAUCAGGAGAUCAUAAGACUCUGGGGUCAGGUUAGACUAUGGCUUUCUUCCAAAGCUGCACUAAACCUAGAGCAGGUAGACCUGUUUACACUCUAGAUUACCAGUUUACUACAAAGGCUAUGAAUAAUCACAUGAAGAGAUACUUUUGGUGAGGUCCCCCCCAAAAAAGGAGCUUCCGUCUUCAUGGAUCUUUGGGUCUGGCAAGAUAGAUUGUUUCCCAACCUGGAAGCUCUCUGAAUCCCCUCCUUUUGGGUUUUUAUGGAGACUUCUUUACAGGAAUCUAAGCCAAUGGUGGGAGUGGGGUUAGAGACCUGAGCUACCAGGGACAGAUCUCUUGAUAUUUAAAAUUUUUAAUGUUGUGACAAUAUGAUUUAAAGAUGGGGCAAUGUGGGAAGAAAGACUGGUUGUCAAUAAUAAUAUUAUGAAAAGAGUUGCUUUUGACUUUUCUUUUGUUAAUGUGGUGCAUGACGUUGAUUGCUCUGCAUAUGUUGAACCAUCCUUGUGAACUUGGGAUGAAUCCCACCUGGUUGUGGUGUACAAUCUUUUUUAUAUGUUGUUGGAUUCGGCUGGCUAAAAUUUUGUUGAGAAUUUUUGUGUCUAUAUUCAUCAAAGAUCACUUGAUCAUCUCAGUAGAUGCAGAGAAAACAUUUGACAAAAUCCAACAUCCAUUCAUGAGAAAAACUCUUACCAAAGUGGGNCCUUCCCACUAAAAUCUGAAGCAAGAGAAGAAUGCCCACUCUCACCACUGUUAUUCAACAUAGUACUGGAAUGCUAGCCACAGCAAUCAGACAAACAAAAUAAAUCAAAGGCAUCCAAAUAGGAAGACAAGAGGUAAAACUGUCACUGUAUGCAGAUGAUAUGAUACUAUAUAUAGAAAACCCCAAGGACUCAACCCCAAAACUACUUGAACUGAUCAACAAAUUCAGCAAAGUGGCAGGAUAUAAGAUUAACUGAUUCAGAAAUCAGUUGCAUUUCUGUAUACUAACAAUGAAAUAGUAGAAAAGGAAUACAAAAAUACAAUACCUUUUAAAAUUGCACCACCAAAAAUAAAAAAAUAAAAAAAAA